AAUGAACGCUGGCGGCAUGCCUUACACAUGCAAGUCGAACGAGACCUCCGGAUCAAGUGGCGCACGGGUGCGUAAAGCGUGGGAACAUGCACCUAGACUCGGCCUAACUCCCCGGAAGGGGUGCUAAAACCGGUUCAUGUACCCGGACCAAAGAGUUGUCGACUUUGGAUGGGCCCGCGAUGGAUUAGCUAGUUGGUAGGGUAAAAGCCUACCAAUGCGACGAUCCAUAGAUGGUCAGAGAGGAUGAUCAGCCACACUGGGACUGAGACACGGCCCAGACUCCUACGGGAGGCAGCAGUGGGUAAUAUUGCACAGUGGGCGGAAGGCUGAACCAGCAAGGCCGCGUGAGUGAUGAAGGCCUGAGGGUUGUAGAGCUCUUUUACCCGGGAGGAUAAUGACAGUACCGGAAGAAUAAGCUCCGGCUAACUCCGUG
RNAcentral lists this ribosomal RNA (433 nucleotides) under uncultured bacterium. RNAcentral describes it as "partial 16S ribosomal RNA". It matches the Rfam family "Bacterial small subunit ribosomal RNA", at positions 29 to 507 of the family's 1533-position model. The record is from RNAcentral.